RNAcentral lists this ribosomal RNA (850 nucleotides) under Magnibotryascoma mali. RNAcentral's name for it is "partial large subunit ribosomal RNA". It matches the Rfam family "Eukaryotic large subunit ribosomal RNA", at positions 86 to 954 of the family's 3401-position model. The record is from RNAcentral. Lineage: Eukaryota; Fungi; Ascomycota; Dothideomycetes; Pleosporales; Teichosporaceae.
ACGGCGAGUGAAGCGGCAACAGCUCAAAUUUGAAAUCUGGCUCCUUUGGUGCCCGAGUUGUAAUUUGCAGAGGGUGCUUUGGUGUUGGCUGUGGUCCAAGUUCCCUGGAACAGGACGUCACAGAGGGUGAGAACCCCGUACGUGGCCGCCAGUCUUCGCCGUGUAAAGCCCCUUCGACGAGUCGAGUUGUUUGGGAAUGCAGCUCUAAAUGGGAGGUAAAUUCCUUCUAAAGCUAAAUAUUGGCCAGAGACCGAUAGCGCACAAGUAGAGUGAUCGAAAGAUGAAAAGCACUUUGGAAAGAGAGUGAAAUAGCACGUGAAAUUGUUGAAAGGGAAGCGCUUGGAGCCAGACGUGCCCGUAGUUGCUCAGCCGGGGUUCUCCCCGGUGCACUCUUCUGCGGGCAGGCCAGCAUCAGUUUGGGCGGUUGGACAAAGGCCUGCUAAACGUACCUCCCCCCGGGGAGGACUUAUAGGGUAGGCGGCAUACGACCAGCCCGGACUGAGGACCGCGCAUCUGCUAGGAUGCUGGCGUAAUGGCUGUAAGCGGCCCGUCUUGAAACACGGACCAAGGAGUCUAACAUCUAUGCGAGUGUUUGGGUGUCAAGCCCGAGCGCGCAAUGAAAGUGAACGCAGGUGGGAGCCUCUCGGGGCGCACCAUCGACCGAUCCUGAUGUCUUCGGAAGGAUUUGAGUAAGAGCAUAGCUGUUGGGACCCGAAAGAUGGUGAACUAUGCCUGAAUAGGGUGAAGCCAGAGGAAACUCUGGUGGAGGCUCGCAGCGGUUCUGACGUGCAAAUCGAUCGUCAAAUUUGGGCAUAGGGGCGAAAGACUAAUCGAACUAUCUAGUAGCUGG